Molecule: ribosomal RNA, 238 nt
Filed under: uncultured bacterium
Lineage: Bacteria
Description: partial 16S ribosomal RNA
Rfam family: Bacterial small subunit ribosomal RNA
Source: RNAcentral
GAUCCUGGCUCAGGAUGAACGCUGGCGGCGUGCUUAACACAUGCAAGUCGAACGAAGCACUUAAGAUUGAUUCUUCGGAUGAAGUCUUUUGUGACUGAGUGGCGGACGGGUGAGUAACGCGUGGGUAACCUGCCUCAUACAGGGGGAUAACAGUUAGAAAUGACUGCUAAUACCGCAUAAGCGCACGGGGUCGCAUGACCUGGUGUGAAAAACUCCGGUGGUAUGAGAUGGACCCGCG